RNAcentral lists this unclassified non-coding RNA (2190 nucleotides) under Hevea brasiliensis (rubber tree). The record is from RNAcentral. Lineage: Eukaryota; Viridiplantae; Streptophyta; Magnoliopsida; Malpighiales; Euphorbiaceae.
CUAGAAUUUUAGGUGGAAUUUUCGUUGUGUUUCUCUAUCGCCGUUGGUUGCCGGAGAUCGUACAUUCUCGCCGACUUACAAAGUUUUGUACAUAAUACUUCUUUAGUUUCUUCAGGAGACCUAGUUGGUGAUGAAUCCGAGACCAAGAUUUCAAUCGCCAGGGAUGGGGGGCCGUGGAGGCGGCGGCGGCGGGAGUAUGCAUCCAAAUACUAACCCAAACUUUCAACACAGAAAUCCUCAGCAGUACAUUCAGAGAGGGCCAGCACCCUAUCAGCAGCCGCAGCCGCAACAACAACAACAACAGCAUUUUCAGAAUCAGCAAACACAGCAGUGGCUUAGAAGAAACCAGUUGCCAUCUCCCGAUUCCACCGUUGCCGAGGUUGAAAAGAAUGUACAGUCCGAAGCCGUUGACCAGAGUUCACAAGAAUGGAAGGCUAGAUUGAAGAUACCACAACCUGAUACUCGAUACAGAACAGAGGACGUGACAGCAACUAAGGGAAAUGAAUUUGAAGACUACUUUCUUAAGCGCGAACUGCUUAUGGGAAUUUAUGAAAAGGGAUUUGAGAGACCAUCGCCAAUCCAAGAGGAGAGCAUUCCAAUUGCGCUAACUGGUAGUGACAUAUUGGCUAGGGCCAAAAAUGGAACUGGGAAGACUGCUUCCUUCUGCAUUCCUGCUUUAGAGAAAAUUGAUCAAGACAAGAAUGUGAUUCAAGCUAUUAUUCUUGUCCCAACUCGAGAAUUGGCCCUCCAAACAUCUCAAGUUUGUAAAGAACUCGGGAAGCACCUAAAAAUUCAAGUCAUGGUUACCACUGGGGGGACUAGCUUAAAGGACGACAUAAUGAGACUGUAUCAGCCAGUUCAUUUACUUGUUGGUACUCCUGGAAGAAUUCUUGACCUUGCAAAAAAGGGUGUGUGUGUUUUGAAAGAUUGCUCCAUGUUUAUCAUGGAUGAGGCUGAUAAGCUUCUUUCUCCGGAGUUUCAACCUUCCAUCGUGCAGCUGAUUCGUUUCUUGCCAGCAAAUCGUCAAGUUUUAAUGUUCUCAGCUACAUUCCCUGUCACAGUCAAGGACUUUAAAGAAAGAUACUUGCAGAAGCCAUAUGUUAUCAACCUUAUGGAUGAACUUACUCUCAAGGGUAUAACUCAAUUUUAUGCCUUCGUAGAGGAAAGGCAGAAGCUUCAUUGCCUUAACACUUUAUUCUCAAAGCUUCAAAUCAACCAAUCAAUUAUCUUUUGCAACUCUGUAAACCGUGUGGAACUGCUUGCCAAGAAGAUCACAGAAUUAGGCUAUUCAUGCUUCUACAUCCAUGCAAAGAUGCUUCAAGAUCAUAGGAACAGAGUAUUUCAUGACUUCCGUAAUGGUGCCUGCAGGAACCUUGUUUGUACUGAUCUGUUUACUAGAGGGAUAGAUAUUCAAGCAGUCAAUGUUGUUAUAAAUUUUGAUUUCCCGAAGAACUCAGAGACAUAUUUACACAGGGUUGGGCGAUCAGGGAGAUUUGGGCAUCUUGGUUUAGCUGUGAACCUGAUUACUUAUGAGGAUCGCUUCAACCUGUACAGAAUUGAACAAGAACUAGGAACAGAGAUCAAGCAAAUUCCUCCGCACAUAGAUCAGGCUAUAUAUUGCCUUUGAUCAGUUAGCUGCUCGGUUAUGGUGCACCAAUGGUGAGUCUUUUGUACAGAAAUCUCAUGUUGAAGUUGUGCGAUGCCUGUGAUGCUGAGAUAAUGGAUGACUUGGCUGUUUCAUGGUUGCCGAGAUAACUGAGUUCAUCUUUAGUUCUAGUGACGAGUUUUAAGUUAAUCCUAAAAGACUUUAGCAGUACAUACUGACAAUGGAUAGGUCCAGUCAGAGACUGACCGUUGGUGAGUCCCCUGGUUAAUGUAGUAUUUGGCAUUUGUCGCUGUUUCCUUUUCGGUUUAUGUCUGUUGGAUAAGAUGUACAAGGUUUUGCUCUAUGGUAUUCAUCUGCGGCAUAUGGUGAUGUGGGAGAAUUGGUCAUGGAGAAGUGAUACCUAAAGAUGUUAAGUGACGGAGUAGUCAUUUUUGUGCACUCAUAGAGAUUAAUAUCAGACGUUUCAACCAGUGUCUCAGUAUGUGUACCAGAAGCAUUGUACUCCUUUCAGCUCUUAUAGCUUUUUUCCUGUUAUGUUGGUGUUUGGAAUGAUGAAGCAGGUUGUGUCUGCAUGAAUGUGAAGG